Molecule: long non-coding RNA, 228 nt
Organism: Etheostoma spectabile (orangethroat darter)
Lineage: Eukaryota; Metazoa; Chordata; Actinopteri; Perciformes; Percidae
Exons: 5
Source: RefSeq, a predicted model, not a curated record
UACAGUGUCCGUACAAAAUAUGCCCGUUUAGAACGGGCUGAUUGCUAGGCCUGUGGUAUUGCUCCUUGUAGCAUUCUCCAGAACCAAAUUGUACCCCCUAAAUUACUUACAGAAGGACCCCAAACCACGUAAUAUGGAACUCCACUGUAUAGCCUACUACUGACUUACAGUGUACUUCUACAUCAGAGAAUGUCAUUGCAUUACUAUACGUACCUGACAGAAAACGUU